This 510-nucleotide ribosomal RNA is filed under the name uncultured bacterium. RNAcentral describes it as "partial 16S ribosomal RNA". It matches the Rfam family "Bacterial small subunit ribosomal RNA", at positions 28 to 507 of the family's 1533-position model. The record is from RNAcentral.
GACGAACGCUGGCGGCGUGCUUAACACAUGCAAGUCGAACGAAGAGCGAUGGAAGCUUGCUUCUAUCAAUCUUAGUGGCGAACGGGUGAGUAACGCGUAAUCAACCUGCCCUUCAGAGGGGGACAACAGUUGGAAACGACUGCUAAUACCGCAUACGAUCUAACCUCGGCAUCGAGGAAAGAUGAAAGGUGGCCUCUAUGUAUAAGCUAUCACUGAAGGAGGGAAUUGCGUCUGAUUAGCUAGUUGGAGGGGUAACGGCCCACCAAGGCGAUGAUCAGUAGCCGGUCUGAGAGGAUGAACGGCCACAUUGGGACUGAGACACGGCCCAGACUCCUACGGGAGGCAGCAGUGGGGAAUCUUCCGCAAUGGACGAAAGUCUGACGGAGCAACGCCGCGUGAGUGAUGACGGCCUUCGGGUUGUAAAGCUCUGUUAAUCGGGACGAAAGGCCUUCUUGCGAAUAGUGAGAAGGAUUGACGGUACCGGAAUAGAAAGCCACGGCUAACUACGUG